CAGUCGCCGCGGUAAUACGAAGGGGGCUAGCGUUGCUCGGAAUUACUGGGCGUAAAGGGAGCGUAGGCGGUUUAUACAGUCAGAUGUGAAAUUCCUGGGCUCAACCUUGGAACUGCCUUUGAUACUGGACAUCUUGAGUGUGGGAGAGGUGAGUGGAACUCCGAGUGUAGAGGUGAAAUUCGUAGAUAUUCGGAAGAACACCAGUGGCGAAGGCGACUCACUGGCCCAUUACUGACGCUGAGGCGCGAAAGCGUGGGGAGCAAACGGGAUUAGAUACCCGCGUAGUCCCUGUCUCUUAUAC
This 301-nucleotide ribosomal RNA is filed under the name uncultured bacterium. RNAcentral describes it as "partial 16S ribosomal RNA". It matches the Rfam family "Bacterial small subunit ribosomal RNA", at positions 509 to 807 of the family's 1533-position model. The record is from RNAcentral.